GCUGGGCGUAGUGGUGCACACCUGUAAUCCCAGUGGCUCAGGAGGCUGAGGCAGGAGGAUCAAGGGUUCAAAGCCAGCCUCAGCAACUUAGCCAGGCACUAAGCAACUCAGUGAAACCCUGUCUCUA
Molecule: small RNA, 127 nt
Filed under: Marmota monax (woodchuck)
Lineage: Eukaryota; Metazoa; Chordata; Mammalia; Rodentia; Sciuridae
Source: RNAcentral